RNAcentral lists this non-coding RNA (280 nucleotides) under Struthio camelus australis. Its description in RNAcentral is "Eukaryotic small subunit ribosomal RNA". It matches the Rfam family "Eukaryotic small subunit ribosomal RNA", at positions 1189 to 1420 of the family's 1831-position model. The record is from Rfam by way of RNAcentral. Lineage: Eukaryota; Metazoa; Chordata; Aves; Struthioniformes; Struthionidae.
CUUAAUUUGACUCAGCACAAGAAACUUUGCUCAAUCCAGAUGCAGAAGGGAUUAACAGAUGGAUAGCUUUUUCUAGUUUCUGUGGUGCGUGGCUAUUCUUAGUCUGUGGAGUGAUUUAUCAGCUUAGUUCCGGUAAUGGUAGUGAAUAAUGACAGAUGCCUAGGAAAAAGUAUGGAAGACAACAUGUAAAGAUACCUCCUCACGAUGUAUUCUCGUCCUGCAAAAAGUCACUGUAGCUGAGUGACUUUUUGAGCUGGAGAAGUUACCUUCGUGUUUGCUG